CAAGGAGAGAGAAGAGGAAGUCUUGCAUUAGGGAGUUGGGGGUUGGGUUUCUGUGUGUUUUCAGAGAAACAACCUCAGCUUCCAGGUUUCUAGAGGGGUUCCCCAUCCUCUGCUCAGUUCAGCCCCAGGCAGGCAGAACCGUGCCCAAGCCUCCCUCCUGAGCUCCCGCAUAUGCUUUCUUGCUAAAUGACUCUUGCUCCAUCGUCUCCUCACAGGGUACAUCUGCUGGGUGCCUCUCGUCCUCAACUCGGCUUUCAUCUUUUCGGAUCUCAACACAUUGUUUCCUCCAGUCCUGGUGCCAGGGUGGAAGGGAGCCAUCAAGCCCGGCCGCGCUCUGGGACUGGCAGCGAACGAAUGACUGGCAGCGGGCAUCUCUGUCAGCGCUUUGGCAUGCCGCAGAGUAGAAGCCCCACGCUAAUGAAUGCCAUCUACACCUACCAGAUGUGCCACUGGGUGACAUGCCAGAUCUUUUACAUAAUGCCAUUCUGCCGGACCCGAGACAGCUGGGGAUUCCAAAAAGGAAAACUGUUUAGAAGGUUAAAGGAAAAAUCCCACUGAGAACAGCUGAAAUGAAAAGGGGUUCCACAGCCCCAGCUCGUCCCGCUCUUCUCUACUCUCCAAGUGCAAGGGUGAGCUACCCACGCCCUAUCCCUUCCUCAGCCUCUCUGGUUCCGACCUCCUCCACUGCCCACCGGAGCCUGGGGAACGUUUAUCCUCAAGGGUGCGAGAGAGCCUGUCACUUUCCGUUCCACGUUCUGGCUGAAGUAGUUGUCUUGGGGUGGAGGUGUCCAAACCCUCCUGCCAUUUGGAACGGAGUGUUUCCUGGAGAGGGAUGGAUGAGGUGGGAGGAAGGGGAAAUAAGAAAACUGCUUCUGGCCAACAAGGGUGUGCGCGCCUGUAAGACAGUUUCCAAGCUCGGGUCCCAGCCCUCCACUCCCAGGGGGACAGGAGCUGGGGACCGGGGGAGGCGGCCUAACACGUCCCCAGCAUCCUCUCCACACCUGGCAACCGGGCCUGCCCGGGAUCCGGAGGACUCAUGGGGACCACCUCUGCGCCUCCUCCCAAGGGCCGCACCCCUCCCACGCCCCCUGCGGGGCCCUAGGGCCUCCCCUCCCCUCCCGCGUAGAGUCUCCGGCCAGCCAAGGGGCCCCGCGCCUGCCCGGUCCUCACAGCCCACCCCGCCCCGCCGCCUGGGCUCCAGAUGGCGGCGCAGCGAGAGCGGCACGCAGGGUCCCCUCCUCCCGCCCAGCUGCCUCUGCGUUGACCUGGCUGCUCAGCACUGCAGGCCGGCGCCUGUCUGACCGGGAGGGGGCGGUGUGCCCCGGGGGACGCAGGUAAGGCAGCCUCGGACGGGGCUCGGGGACCGCCCAACUCCACUCCCCGCCACCGAUUUCCAGCCCCAUCCCACCCCCAUCUCCCAGAACCCCAUUAUCCCCCUAUCCUAUCCCACCCGGGUCGUCCAGGGUGCAGCAGUGGCUGGGACAGUGCGCCAGCCGGACAGCGGGGAGCGCUGCGCAGGCUCCAGGAGGGGGCGCCCCACUUCCCAGAACCUGCUGGAGAAGUGGGCGCUGCUGGGUCCCGCCCUACCCUGAGGCCGCAGUGGCGCCCCUUCCCACCCGAGAGCCGCGCCACGCACCGGAGCAACGGGGCGCUCCAGCGCCUCUACUCCCCACUGCUAGCCCUCUUCCCUCUCUCUUUCGCUUUGCUCCUCUCUUUUCGCUUGACAGGUUUCCUGCCUUCCCUCUCUCUUGCACCCUCAUAUUCUUGAGGGUUCUACGGGCCGGAGACGAUGUGAAUGUGGCCCCUCUGCGAAGGUGACUAGUUUUUGUUCGGGGUCGGAGAUGGCAGCUGAGGGUCCGGGGUGCGGUGCUUCCCGGGUCGAGUCGUAGAGCUCCGGGACGCGCAAAGUUCGGCGGCGUUGGCACGGCGGUGAGCCCUCUGCUCCCUCCGCAAAGACAACAGGCCGGACAGUGGCUCCCCGCACAGCCCUCCCGGACAGUCCUCGCUGCUUCCCUCCCCAGAGUCCGCGCCGUGGUGGGGAGUGACCCGAGAGGCCGCGCUCGGCGUCCCGCGCAGCUCACCCUCCCUUCCUGUCCCGUGGGGUGCGGUGUGCGCCCACCGUGCCCUCAGGUCCCUGAGCAAGGCGGUCACCAUCGGGCUUUAGACCCCAGAACGAGUUCCAUAAGCUCCCAGGAUAAAUCCCCUCGGAAACAUUAAUCACAACGAGCAGCCAAGGCAAAAUGUGUGCCAGUGCGGUGUCAGCCUUUUAAUUCCUGACGUAAUUCCGGAGAACAGCAUCAGACAAGGGCUCUAUUAAUCCCUGACAUGAGUCCAGGCGAUCUAUGACCUACUAGACUUGUUUCCCUGCAACUGCAAAAAGUGUUAGCCUCGCUUAGAGGGACGGCGAGGACAGAAAAGAAAGAGAGAAGACCCUCUGCGCUUUCCCACCGCAAUGGGGCACUUCAAUCAGAAGGCGCUUGUAGGCUGAGGCAGGAGGAUCCCAAGUUUGAGCCCACCCUGGCCAAUUUAAGGACUUAGUAGACCCUGUCUCAAAAUUUUAAAAGGUAGCUCAGUGCCCAGUAGCCUUCCCACCCCCCCCCCCCCAAGCACACCUGACUGAUGUGGAUGGACUCACUGGCCAGGGGUCCAGAAAUUCGACCCCUGCGGUGGUGGUUUGGAGGGCAUGGCCAAGGGGACAGGGUAGGCUGGUGAGCACAGGGGCUGGAGACCCAAGUGACCCAGGGUGGAGACGGCCUCCUGGCAGCCGCUAGGGCAGGAGGAGAGGUUAUCCAGUCAGGCGGACCAGCCAGAACUGGACCCCUGGGGCCUGUUCCUCGAGCUUCAGAUUUCACUAUCAUGUCGUUCAAUUAAUCAUAUUUCGCUUCUCUCAUUUUAUUCAAAACCGUCUUCCACUUCCCUCAUAAUCGUAAUUUGCGCCAUUGCCUUUUAUCCUUGAUUAAUUAGGAAGCUGAAAUGAUAAUGGAGGGCCGGACCAAUAAAUUAGCUUUGGGAACAGACGGACCUACGUCUGGGGCUGCAGCGUGGGUGGGCAGUGCCCCCGAGGCACGGGGAGGGGUGAAGUGCACCCUAACCCUAGCCCUAACCCCAACCCCAACCCCAGCGCCAACCUAACCCAAGACCUCUCCCUGGGGUGUUACGUUCUUCUGUUCGGAUCUAGAGUUGGCGAGGGGGCUGGCGUAGGGGGAGGGAGGGGCCCCGUUUUCCUUCCCAGAGGCCUCACCGCCCCUAGCCGGUGGUUAGGUUGAAAGUCUGGGCCUGCGGAGGGUUUGGGUCUGUUUCUUCCCGAGCUAGGCGCUAGAUUUACUGCCUUUCCUUCCUCCACUCUCCGCUUGCCUGCUGGCCUGAAGGAGGGAGGAAGGGAGGGAAAGUGAGCGAGAGGGAGAGGGGGAUGCAGAUUCUAAGAUCAGGUCAGAAACUCCUGGCCCAAGGGGGAGCUCCCCGCGCCCAGUCGCUCCCUGGCCUCGCUGAGCGGCGCCGGGCGGUUGGGGCGCCUCUCUUCUCCCUCCCUCCGUGAAAUCGAUCACGCCUCCAGACGGCUGAGGGAGAGCACUUUGCCACUCUUCACAGCUUCGCCCCAGCCUCUUUAGCUUUCAAUUGAAAAGCAAUUAAAGGUUUCUAUAAAUCUGUUAGCGCCCCUUUUAUCUGGGGACCCCUGAUGCAUGCGAUAUUGCCCUUUAGAUGCCUCUUCCGUGUUUUGUUUUACAAUUGUUGUAUCAAUAUAAUGCGGCCUUUCUUCUCCUGUCUCUAUAGAUACAGAUACACAAGGAAAACCAAAGCUAUUCAGGCUCCUCAUUUGUCCGGCAGCUAACAGUGGGGCCCUUUCUCUGCGGCUGCUUCCCUGCCUAGGCAGCAGCAGUUAUGGUAGAAGCAGAUGGCUACUGAUUGGGGGAGCUUUGUGGCUCUAAUACUGAAUACUUUAUGGAAAAGGACUUUAUCAUGCUUCGUUGGGCAGGGGAACAACGGGAUGAGAUUUACAGCCAGAAAAAAAUAAAUCUUUUUCCAAGUUGUG
Molecule: long non-coding RNA, 4030 nt
Organism: Heterocephalus glaber (naked mole-rat)
Lineage: Eukaryota; Metazoa; Chordata; Mammalia; Rodentia; Bathyergidae
Source: Ensembl